Molecule: transfer RNA, 91 nt
Filed under: Micromonospora sp. AKA38
Lineage: Bacteria; Bacillati; Actinomycetota; Actinomycetes; Micromonosporales; Micromonosporaceae
Description: tRNA-Pro
Source: RNAcentral
CUGGUGCUCGCCGAGGAACGGCACCGCCCCGGCGGCCGUCUCGGUGGCCGACGCCUGGCCGCCACCGGCGAUCAACGCGCCCGCGCCGGCC